GACGAACGCUGGCGGCGUGCUUAACACAUGCAAGUCGAACGGAAAGGCCCUGCUUUUGUGGGGUGCUCGAGUGGCGAACGGGUGAGUAACACGUGAGUAACCUGCCCUUGACUUUGGGAUAACUUCAGGAAACUGGGGCUAUUACCGGAUAGGAGCUCCUGCUGCAUGGUGGGGGUUGGAAAGUUUCGGCGGUUGGGGAUGGACUCGCGGCUUAUCAGCUUGUUGGUGGGGUAGUGGCUUACCAAGGCUUUGACGGGUAGCCGGCCUGAGAGGGUGACCGGCCACAUUGGGACUGAGGUACGGCCCAGACUCCUACGGGAGGCAGCAGUGGGGAAUAUUGCACAAUGGGCGGAAGCCUGAUGCAGCAACGCCGCGUGCGGGAUGACGGCCUUCGGGUUGUAAACCGCUUUCGCCUGUGACGAAGCGUGAGUGACGGUAAUGGGUAAAGAAGCACCGGCUAACUACGUG
This 468-nucleotide ribosomal RNA is filed under the name uncultured bacterium. Its description in RNAcentral is "partial 16S ribosomal RNA". It matches the Rfam family "Bacterial small subunit ribosomal RNA", at positions 28 to 507 of the family's 1533-position model. The record is from RNAcentral.